This 248-nucleotide unclassified non-coding RNA is filed under the name uncultured fungus. Its description in RNAcentral is "sequence contains ITS1, 5.8S rRNA gene". The stretch from base 200 to 248 matches the Rfam family "5.8S ribosomal RNA", at positions 1 to 49 of the family's 154-position model. The record is from RNAcentral. Lineage: Eukaryota; Fungi.
UUUCCGUAGGUGAACCUGCGGAAGGAUCAUUACCGAAGUACAGGCCCCUUCGGGGGCUAAACUUCCACCCUUUGUUUAUCACACUUUGUUGCUUUGGCGAGACGCCCCUGGGCCACCGGCUUCGGCUGGUGAGCGCUCGCCGGAGAACCCCAAACCCAAACCUUUUUUAGUGUUGUCUGAGAACUAUUUUAAUAAUUAAAACUUUCAACAACGGAUCUCUUGGCUCUGGCAUCGAUGAAGAACGCAGC